Molecule: unclassified non-coding RNA, 378 nt
Filed under: plant metagenome
Description: partial contains 5.8S ribosomal RNA, internal transcribed spacer 2, and large subunit ribosomal RNA
Rfam family: 5.8S ribosomal RNA (bases 1-105)
Source: RNAcentral
GAAAUGCGAUAAGUAAUGUGAAUUGCAGAAUUCAGUGAAUCAUCGAAUCUUUGAACGCACCUUGCGCUCCUUGGUAUUCCUUGGAGCAUGCCUGUUUGAGUAUCAUGAAAUCUUCAAAGUAAAUCUUUUGUUAACUCAAUUGGUUUCUACUUUGGUAUUGGAGGUCUUUGCAGCUUCACACCUGCUCCUCUUUGUUCAUUAGCUGGAUCUCAGUGUUAUGCUUGGUUCCACUCGGCGUGAUAAGUUAUCUAUCGCUGAGGACACUGUAAAAGGUGGCCAAGGUAAAUGCAGAUGAACCGCUUCUAAUAGUCCAUUGACUUGGACAAUACUUUUAUGAUCUGAUCUCAUAUCAGGUAGGACUACCCGCUGAACUUAAGC